This 1510-nucleotide ribosomal RNA is filed under the name seawater metagenome. Its description in RNAcentral is "bacterial LSU rRNA". It matches the Rfam family "Bacterial large subunit ribosomal RNA", at positions 929 to 2425 of the family's 2925-position model. The record is from RNAcentral.
UCAAGGCUUAGUAAACCAUUGCAAACUCCGAAUACCAGAAAGUAUGAGCGCGGCAGACACACUGCGGGUGCUAACGUCCGUAGUGGAAAGGGAAACAACCCAGACCGUCAGCUAAGGUCCCAAAAUUAUAGUUAAGUGGGAAACGAUGUGAAAAGGCCCAGACAGCCAGGAGGUUGGCUUAGAAGCAGCCAUUCCUUUAAAGAGUGCGUAAUAGCUCACUGGUCGAGUCGGUUUGCGCGGAAGAUUUAACGGGGCUAAACUAUAUACCGAAGCUGCGGAUCGCAAUUUAUUGCGAUGGUAGGAGAGCGUUCUGUAAGCCGUUGAAGGUGAACUGUGAGGUUUGCUGGAGGUAUCAGAAGUGCGAAUGCUGACAUGAGUAACGAUAAGGGGAGUGAAAAGCUCCCCCGCCGGAAGACCAAGGUUUCCUAUCCAAUGCUAAUCAGGGUAGGGUGAGUCGGCCCCUAAGGCGAGGCUGAAGAGCGUAGUCGAUGGGAAGCAGGUUAAUAUUCCUGCACCACUCAAUAUUGCGAAGGAGGGACGGAGAAGGCUAGUCCAGCGCGGCGUUGGUUGUCCGCGUUUAAGCGUGUAGGCUUAAAUGUUAGGUAAAUCCGGGAUUUUUUAAGGCUGAGGCGUGAUGACGAGGUCCAUUAGGACUGAAGUGGUUGAUGCCAUGCUUCCAGGAAAAGCUUCUAAGCAUCAGAUAUUGAGUGACCGUACCCCAAACCGACACAGGUGGUCAGGUAGAGAAUACCAAGGCGCUUGAGAGAACUCGGGUGAAGGAACUAGGCAAAAUGGUACCGUAACUUCGGGAGAAGGUACGCCGCUGAUGGUGAUGGGACUUGCUCCCUAAGCUGAGGAGAGUCGAAGUGACCAGGUGGCUGCAACUGUUUAUUAAAAACAUAGCACUCUGCAAACUCGUGAGAGGAAGUAUAGGGUGUGACGCCUGCCCGGUGCCGGAAGGUUAAUUGAUGGGGUUAUCUUCGGAGAAGCUCUUGAUCGAAGCCCCGGUAAACGGCGGCCGUAACUAUAACGGUCCUAAGGUAGCGAAAUUCCUUGUCGGGUAAGUUCCGACCUGCACGAAUGGCGUAACGAUGGCCACACUGUCUCCACCCGAGACUCAGUGAAAUUGAAAUUGCGGUUAAGAUGCCGUAUACCCGCGGCUAGACGGAAAGACCCCGUGAACCUUUACUAUAGCUUCACACUGGACUCUGACUUUACUUGUGUAGGAUAGCUGGGAGGCUUUGAAGCGAUGGCGCUAGCUGUUGUGGAGCCAACCUUGAAAUACCAGCCUGGUAACGUUGGGGUUCUAACCUAGGUCCAUUAUCUGGAUUGGGGACAGUGUGUGGUGGGUAGUUUGACUGGGGCGGUCUCCUCCCAAAGAGUAACGGAGGAGCACGAAGGUGCGCUAAGCAUGGUCGGAAAUCAUGCGGUUAGUGUAAUGGCAUAAGCGUGCUUGACUGCGAGUCUGACAAGACGAGCAGGUACGAAAGUAGGUCAUAGUGAUCCGGUG